This 497-nucleotide ribosomal RNA is filed under the name uncultured bacterium. RNAcentral's name for it is "partial 16S ribosomal RNA". It matches the Rfam family "Bacterial small subunit ribosomal RNA", at positions 29 to 507 of the family's 1533-position model. The record is from RNAcentral.
ACGAACGCUGGCGGCGUGCCUAAUCCAUGCAAGUCGAGCGGACGGAUGGGAGCUUGCUCCCAGACCGUCAGCGGCGGACGGGUGAGUAACACGUGGGCAACCUGCCUGUAAGACUGGGAUAACUCCGGGAAACCGGGGCUAAUACCGGAUAACUCUUUCCCUCACAUGAGGGAAAGCUGAAAGAUGGCAUCUCGCUAUCACUUACAGAUGGGCCCGCGGCGCAUUAGCUAGUUGGUGAGGUAACGGCUCACCAAGGCGACGAUGCGUAGCCGACCUGAGAGGGUGAUCGGCCACACUGGGACUGAGACACGGCCCAGACUCCUACGGGAGGCAGCAGUAGGGAAUCUUCCGCAAUGGACGAAAGUCUGACGGAGCAACGCCGCGUGAGUGAUGAAGGUUUUCGGAUCGUAAAACUCUGUUGUCAGGGAAGAACAAGUACCGGAGUAACUGCCGGUACCUUGACGGUACCUGAACAGAAAGCCACGGCUAACUACGUG